AAUGUGAUUGGUCCUUCCGUGGGGAUGCCAAACUCUUCUUCGGAUAUCUUCAAGAGCUCUUGGAUAACAGAGUUGCUCAGAUAACUUAUUGGAAAAGCAAAGCGGAUUCUAUCGGAUGUGUAAACCACAAAACAGCCCUUCUCUGCAGCGGUUGAGCUGCUAGUAGUAUCAGUUGAUCUAUGAAAAGAGAUUCUUUUCCUUCUUAAGGCAGCUCUCUGUUGCCAUUUCUUGGCCAUCUUCAAGAGCUUCUUUGUGUUCAUCAUUAUAUUUAGGGAAAAGCUGUUUAAGAUUGGAAAGAGGAAGAGAUGUGCAAAUUGUGUUGUAUAACGUAACUCUUUGAAU
Molecule: long non-coding RNA, 342 nt
Organism: Arabidopsis thaliana (thale cress)
Lineage: Eukaryota; Viridiplantae; Streptophyta; Magnoliopsida; Brassicales; Brassicaceae
Product: other RNA
Exons: 1
Source: RefSeq